CAGCUCGACCCGCCCAUCCAGCGGGAACACACUUCUCCUUCUGCUCUCUGUCCGCUGGAAGUUUGGGCGUUUUCUCUCCCGUUGCUCCGUUCUCAUCUCACUUACCGGACAUUUCCCCGGGAAACAACAGAGCACCGGUUCCCGUGCGGUCGUUAUUAAGCUUCUCUCCGGAGAGACGGAGUUUCCAAACGGACCGUAAACUCCGCCGACAGCCUCCAUGCUGCUGCCCGCACAGGCUGUGCGACGGCAGCUGAUUUGGGAUCAGAUGAUCUGGUAGCUGCAGGACUAAUGAAGUGAUGAAGCUGCCCGGUGCUCUCUACUGCCCCCUGUAGUUCCUCUGAGUGAUGAAGCUGCCCGGCGCUCUCUACUGCCCCCUGUGGUUCCUCCUGCUGCUGGCAGCCGGAUCUCUGCUGCUGCUCGUCCGCCUGCAGGAUCUCACCGACACCCCAGGUGUGAAUGUGCUGGUGGCUCCCAGGUGGCCUGUAGACAAGGACGACGUGGAGACAGUCUCGUCUGCGUCUCUGCCGGAGCUCCAAGACUUCAAACCGCCGGUCACCAAACGCCACAGGAAGCUGCUCCUGCAGACCCCUAACCCAUCCGCCGCCGAGGAACGCCACGGGAAGCUGCUCCUGCAGACCCCUAACCCGGCCGCCGCCGAGGAACGCCACGGGAAGCUGCUCCUGCAGACCCCUAACCCGGCCGCCGCCGUGGGCGGAGAUGGAGCGGAGGAACAGCGCCGGCAGCAGCUGGCAGAGACGCAGGCGUCCCGCCGGCGCCGGCUGAACGACGUCUGCGCCAUAUACCAGCCGGGCGCCAGCGAGCAGCGCGUCUCCCGCCGUCAG
This 842-nucleotide long non-coding RNA is filed under the name Sander lucioperca (pikeperch). RNAcentral's name for it is "lncRNA (ENSSLUG00000021646.1)". The record is from RNAcentral. Lineage: Eukaryota; Metazoa; Chordata; Actinopteri; Perciformes; Percidae.